CCAUCCAAGGAUGGCUAUGACGGCCCUAAAUAAUCAAUGUUUCAAUCAAUGCGUUAAAGCUUGCUGGAGUUGGCUCUUCAUGAUGUAAAGUGAAGUCUCAAAUGGCAAACCCCCUCUUUAGUGACUAAACGCCCAGAUGGAGCUGGCACAGCCAUGUCAUGCUGCUCUUUCAUCUUGAACCCCUCUUUCCCACACCCGUUAUACUUGCCCCACCCAGUUUCCAGUCUACUCAAUAUUUUUCUGCCCCAAACCAAUUCUCUUACCACCUCCCAUUUCCCUUCUUCUCUGUUCUUUAUCCCACUUGGUACCAUGUUUGCUUUUAUUUUAACUUUUUUUUUUUUUUGAAAUUUUAUAUAUAUUUUUCUUUUUUACUUGGCGCGUACGCUCACGCUUUCAGUAACAUUGGGAUGUGUUUUAGAGAGCAAUUCUCGUCAUGACUUUACAUUUUAUAAUUGUUUUAUAAAGUACUUUUCCAAUUAAAUUAUUUAAGAAAU
Long non-coding RNA from Spea bombifrons (plains spadefoot toad), 494 nucleotides. RefSeq lists it as uncharacterized. The record is from RefSeq and is a predicted model, not a curated record. The transcript is spliced from 2 exons. NCBI's taxonomy places the organism in Eukaryota, Metazoa, Chordata, Amphibia, Anura, Pelobatidae.